Molecule: ribosomal RNA, 456 nt
Filed under: uncultured bacterium
Lineage: Bacteria
Description: bacterial SSU rRNA
Rfam family: Bacterial small subunit ribosomal RNA
Source: RNAcentral
AGAGUUUGAUCAUGGCUCGAGGACAACGCUGGCGGUGUGCUUCACACAUGCAAGUCGAACGAGGUAGCAAUACCUAGUGGCGGACGGGUGAGUAACGCGUGGGAAUCUGCCUUUAGAUGGGGGAUAACGGGUCGAAAGACUCGCUAAUACCGCAUAUGACGAAAGUUGAAAGGAGUAAUCCGUCUAAAGAUGAGCCCGCGUCCGAUUAGCUAGUUGGUAGAGUAAAAGCCUACCAAGGCGACGAUCGGUAGCUGGUCUGAGAGGAUGAUCAGCCACAAUGGGACUGAGACACGGCCCAUACUCCUACGGGAGGCAGCAGUGGGGAAUUUUACGCAAUGGGCGAAAGCCUGACGUAGCGACACCGCGUGAGCGAAGAAGCCCCUUGGGGUGUAAAGCUCUGUCAGCUGGAACGAAAAAAUGACGGUACCAGCAGAGGAAGCAUCGGCUAACUACGUG